UAGGGAAUCUUCCGCAAUGGACGAAAGUCUGACGGAGCAACGCCGCGUGAGUGAAGAAGGAUUUCGGUUCGUAAAACUCUGUUGUUAGGGAAGAAAAAAUGUAUAGUAACUAUAUACAAAAGAGACGGUACCUAACCAGAAAGCCACGGCUAACUACGUGCCAGCAGCCGCGGUAAUACGUAGGUGGCACGCGGUGUCCGGAAUUAUUGGGCGUAAAGCGCGCGCAGGUGGUUUAGAAAGUCUGAUGUGAAAGCCCACGGCUCAACCGUGGAGGGUCAUUGGAAACUAAUAAACUGGAGUGCAGGAGAGAAAAGUGGAAUUCCUGGUGUAGCGGUGAAGUGCGUAAAGAUGAGGAGGAACACCGGUGGCGAAGGCGGCUUUUUGGCCUGCAACUGACACUGAGGCGCGAAAGCGUGGGGAGCAAACAGG
RNAcentral lists this ribosomal RNA (429 nucleotides) under Verrucomicrobiota bacterium. Its description in RNAcentral is "Verrucomicrobia bacterium partial 16S ribosomal RNA". It matches the Rfam family "Bacterial small subunit ribosomal RNA", at positions 355 to 776 of the family's 1533-position model. Lineage: Bacteria; Pseudomonadati; Verrucomicrobiota. The record is from RNAcentral.